RNAcentral lists this transfer RNA (96 nucleotides) under Leishmania major strain Friedlin. Its description in RNAcentral is "tRNA_threonine". Lineage: Eukaryota; Euglenozoa; Kinetoplastea; Trypanosomatida; Trypanosomatidae. The record is from RNAcentral.
CUUUCGUAUGGGUAGGGAGCAUAUCGUGCCUUCUGUAGAGACAUCAAGGAACAGAGUGACUGGCACAGAAUGUGUUCCGGUCAUAUACGUGAAGCC